CAAAUCGGGCGGUAAAUUCCGUCCAAGGCUAAAUAUUGGCGAGAGACCGAUAGCAAACAAGUACCGCGAGGGAAAGAUGAAAAGGACUUUGAGAAAAGAGUCAAAGAGUACUUGAAAUUGUCGGGAGGGAAGCGGAUGGGGGCCGGCGGUGCGUCCCGGUCGGAUGUGGAACGGCGAGUAGCCGGUCUGCCGAUCGACUCGGGGCGUGGACCGACGCGGAUUGGGGCGGCGUCGCAAGCCCGAGCCUUUGUUGUGCUCGCGGAGACGUCGUCGCCUCGAUCGUGGCUGGCAGCGCGCGCCCAUGGCGUGCUUCGGCAUCAGCGUGCUCCAGGCGUCGGCCUGCGGGCUCCCCAUUCGGCCCGUCUUGAAACACGGACCAAGGAGUCUGACAUGUGUGCGAGUCAACGGGCCAGAAAACCCGUGAGGCGCAAGGAAGCUGACUGGCGGGAUCCCCUUGAGGGUUGCACCGCCGACCGACCUUGAUCUUCUGAGAAGGGUUCGAGUGUGAGCAUGCCUGUCGGGACCCGAAAGAUGGUGAACUAUGCCUGAGCGG
RNAcentral lists this ribosomal RNA (553 nucleotides) under Begonia angularis. Its description in RNAcentral is "eukaryotic LSU rRNA". It matches the Rfam family "Eukaryotic large subunit ribosomal RNA", at positions 288 to 844 of the family's 3401-position model. The record is from RNAcentral. Lineage: Eukaryota; Viridiplantae; Streptophyta; Magnoliopsida; Cucurbitales; Begoniaceae.